GACGAACGCUGGCGGCGUGCUUAAUACAUGCAAGUCUAAGGGUUUAUCUUCCUUCGGGAAGAUAGACACUGGCGCACGGGUGAGUAACACGUAAGUCAUCUGCCCUUGGGUCUGGCACAACUCCGGGAAACCGGGGCUAAUUCCAGAUGAUACCGAAAGGUCAAAGUUUCGACGCCCAAGGAUGAGCUUGCGUCUGAUUAGCUAGUUGGCGGGGUAAUGGCCCACCAAGGCGACGANCAGUAGCCGGUCUGAGAGGAUGAUCGGCCACAUUGGGACUGAGACACGGCCCAGACUCCUACGGGAGGCAGCAGUAAGGAAUAUUGCGCAAUGGACGAAAGUCUGACGCAGCAACGCCGCGUGCAGGAUGACGGCCCUUUGGGUUGUAAACUGCUGUAGCAGGGGAAUAAGAGCCCACUCGGUGGGUGUGAAGGUACCCUGAAGUAAGCUCCGGCUAACUACGUGCCAGCCGCCGCCGUAAU
RNAcentral lists this ribosomal RNA (479 nucleotides) under uncultured bacterium. Its description in RNAcentral is "bacterial SSU rRNA". It matches the Rfam family "Bacterial small subunit ribosomal RNA", at positions 28 to 524 of the family's 1533-position model. The record is from RNAcentral.